Small nucleolar RNA from Rhinopithecus bieti (black snub-nosed monkey), 141 nucleotides. Lineage: Eukaryota; Metazoa; Chordata; Mammalia; Primates; Cercopithecidae. The record is from Ensembl.
AUCCAAGGCGAUUCCCUCUCCAAGGGGACAUCCAGUGCCCCCUCUCAGGAAAGUAGCAACUUGGAACAGAAUCUGGCAUGCCUAAGGUCUUUGAGGAACAGGGAUGCUUAUUUCCUCUGCCUUCCUUGGCUGCCUACAUGG